CCCACGCCAAAGCUUCCUCACUCACCUACUGUUACCGCUCUGAUCAGGAUAUAAUAUUUUCAGUGAUCAGACUGCAACGGAAGUUGAAAGAAUCUUUAGCAACUGGACGAGCCAGCGGCAGCAACAAAACCUCCAGCACACGUGUUGAAAGAUCCCAGAGUUUUCUUACUUGCUUCUCUUUACAAAGUUGCAGUGUGUUUUGUCCUCCCCUUGAACUUCUUCUAAUACCAUGGAGCAGGACCUCUGCAGACAAAGCCACUGCAACAGCCACGGAGUCUGUGUGUCUCCUCCAGAUGGCGAUGCUAAUUUGGUUUGUACAUGUGAUCUGGGCUACAGCGGGGAAUUCUGCGAAACAACAGUCAAUGGGCAUUUGAGUGUACCACUGACCGUAAGCACAAUUGUGGUCAUCGUCGGGCUGGUGAUCUUCGCUUUUGUCUUCGCUAAGCUGAGGCAGAGGCAAAAGAGGAAUAAGAGAAGACAACUGGCAGCACAAGGCUACAACGUAUCAGUUUAAUGUGGAUAAAUACAAAAUAUGUCUAAGGUAAACAAUGUCUUGGACAAUUUCCACCCCAUCGUGUUCCUGGAUGUUUAAGAGUGACCCUUCCAAACGGAAAGCAGAUAUGCAUUUUUACUCACUGCAACUGACUUUGUGCUCCAACCUCUUAAAGCCACAAACACUGAAUUUACUGAAGCACCUUGACUCCUGAGCCUGUUUGCUUUGUUCAGCUGACACUCUAUACGAAUGUUUUCUGCAGGACAAAUAUGAGGUUAUGUUGGAUUUUGUUUCUACAAUCAUGGCACUGUUGAUGUCUUUAUAGUCAAGUUAAACUCACUCUUUGACCUUUGACAUUUCUUUCAUGCACAGUCUUCCAGCACAAUUAUGCAAAUGUUCAACCACUUUGAAUGAUGAAGCAGGAGCUUUGGGCGGAGGCAUUGAUCUCAUGACAACCAGCUUGUUGUAUUUAACUGGUGUUAGCAAGGAUUUUUCAAGGUCAUAAGGUUUGGAUAUCUCUGUAAACCAUAUAUAAUGUACUCAUAAUUGCAUAGUUUUAUGUUGGAAAUCAUUUAUGUACUGUGUAGUUCACCACUUUAGUGCAUUUGGUCUGUGUUUUGUUUUUGUUUUUUGUACUGGUAUGUUGUUUGGUCUGCUUGUCCUGACACAAAAUACACCAUACCUUACUGACUUUUUUAUACUUAGAAAAAUAUGUGGGUCCAUUUGAUCAUUGUCAAAUGCAGUAUCAUAAUUUUUUUAAUCCAUUUUAUUUCUUGAUUAUGCACACAACUGAUUGUUUUAUGUCCCAUAAUAAUUACAAACACUACCAAUGCAAAGCUAGACUGUAUAGUUUUCUGUCCUUCUGUUUCUUGAAAUUUUUCUUUGUCAUUUUGUUAACCAGAUCAUUUGUUUGUGUUUGUUUUGUUCUGUGGAGCAUUUGUUUGGCGUAAGUAUCCAGCCAAUAUUUUUCUUUUUAAGAGGUAGUUAUUACUUAUCAGAUAUUUGAGCAAUAUUUUUUACAGUCCUCCUUCUACAUAACUAUCUGAUCCAUGUAAAGUCUUAAUUCAUGGAUCAGAUCAUGACUCUGUCAUGUAACUGCAUAUAAAAUUAGCUUCAAUUAAACACCUCUUAAAUGUUUGAGAUGUCUGGAGAAGUCAAAGAGUCAGUUUGGAACCAACUCAAUUCUUAUUAGCCACUAAUUUGACUGUCUGGUCAGAACCUUUAUUUCUAAGAACUAAGGUCCUUCAGAUGGUUGUCUACUAUAGGUAACAUGAUGACUGCACUCUAUGUCCCCAUAAAACUCUAAUGUCAAAGAUAAACCCAUUUUAAAGUAGCAUAGUUACUUUAUACACUCUAGAGCACCUGUAAAACAAAGGUUUGUGUAUGUAUAGAAGACAUUAGCUAAAUGAGUUAUGUUUGAAAAAUAGCUUUCUCUUGUACAAAACUGAACUAUGAGUGUUAAACAGAUCAUUUGUAGAUUUCUGCUUUAAUAAUCCGACUUUGACAAACUCCAAUACUUUACAGUCACUAGACACAUUUCUAACCACUGCUGCUGAACAUCUGUUUUGUCACAAUAUGGUUAUUAAUCCUUAAUUUCUCAGUAGAUAUUCUGGUGAGUUUAAUUUUAUCCAUCUAAAAAGGAAAAUGGAAUAAACUUUUUAAGUGCUUUUUCUAUACACCCUUAAACAGUGUGUAUAAAACAACAAAACACUUGUCUUUUUUUAUUCUAAUAAAGUUUAUAAAACCCUUUCUUUCUAAAAAA
This is a long non-coding RNA of Gambusia affinis (western mosquitofish), 2255 nucleotides long. RefSeq lists it as uncharacterized. The record is from RefSeq and is a predicted model, not a curated record. The transcript has 5 exons. NCBI's taxonomy places the organism in Eukaryota, Metazoa, Chordata, Actinopteri, Cyprinodontiformes, Poeciliidae.